AGUGAACGCUGGCGGUAGGCCUAACACAUGCAAGUCGAACGGCAGCACAGUAAGAGCUUGCUCUUACGGGUGGCGAGUGGCGGACGGGUGAGGAAUACAUCGGAAUCUACUUUUUCGUGGGGGAUAACGUAGGGAAACUUACGCUAAUACCGCAUACGACCUACGGGUGAAAGCAGGGGAUCUUCGGACCUUGCGCGAUUGAAUGAGCCGAUGUCGGAUUGGCUAGUUGGCGGGGUAAAGGCCCACCAAGGCGACGAUCCGUAGCUGGUCUGAGAGGAUGAUCAGCCACACUGGAACUGAGACACGGUCCAGACUCCUACGGGAGGCAGCAGUGGGGAAUAUUGGACAAUGGGCGCAAGCCUGAUCCAGCCAUACCGCGUGGGUGAAGAAGGCCUUCGGGUUGUAAAGCCCUUUUGUUGGGAAAGAAAAGCAGCAGGUUAAUACCCCGCUGUUCUGGCGGUACCCAAAGAAUAAGCACCGGCUAACUUCGU
This 491-nucleotide ribosomal RNA is filed under the name uncultured bacterium. RNAcentral's name for it is "partial 16S ribosomal RNA". It matches the Rfam family "Bacterial small subunit ribosomal RNA", at positions 29 to 506 of the family's 1533-position model. The record is from RNAcentral.